RNAcentral lists this small nuclear RNA (128 nucleotides) under Physeter macrocephalus (sperm whale). RNAcentral describes it as "Physeter catodon (sperm whale) U4 spliceosomal RNA (ENSPCTG00005011816.1)". It matches the Rfam family "U4 spliceosomal RNA". From Rfam's summary of the family: U4 small nuclear RNA (U4 snRNA) is a component of the major U2-dependent spliceosome. Lineage: Eukaryota; Metazoa; Chordata; Mammalia; Artiodactyla; Physeteridae. The record is from RNAcentral.
GGCUUUGUGCAGUGGCAGUAUCGUAGUCAAUGAUGUUUAUCCGAGGCACAAUUAUUGCUAAUUGAAAACUUUUCCCGAAAAACAAUAGCAAAAAACAUGUAUAAUUUAUGUGUAUAGAAUCAAAAAUA